This 885-nucleotide long non-coding RNA is filed under the name Homo sapiens (human). Its description in RNAcentral is "HSALNT0354134". The record is from RNAcentral. Lineage: Eukaryota; Metazoa; Chordata; Mammalia; Primates; Hominidae.
AUCGCCUGGCGUUUGGGUGGCCGCCAUGCUUCCGGGCCCGCCACUCCCGCCGCCACCCAAAGACACUGCGUUCCGGCAGGCUUGGGCUGGGAGACCCGGUGUUGGGUGGGGUCCCGGCAGGGACAAGCCGCUGCCGCCAUCAGUCACCGAGGUGGGGUGGGGAUGAGAGGUUCGCCGCGGCUUCAAGACCUGGGUCCGGCCAGUGGGCAGCCACAUCGGAGGCCUCAGGAUUAUCAAUCACAGUCAUAUCUAUAAUGAAACUGGAAGAAAAACUACACAGAAAAGAAUUCAAAGUGAUUUGGCACUGCCUUCUGCUUGGCCCAUCUGCUGUUAUUUUUUUUCUCCUACUGGCAGAACGUUAGACAAUAUUUCAACUUAGCAUCUCAUAGGCAGUUAAACAACGGACAAGAGUGGGCUGGAGAAGAGGAAAUGAUACCAUGUUCUUUUAAGAAAAAAGAGGAAAAAGCCCACAAGAUGAACACUAUGGUGUAUAACCCUGUCAUGUCUUUUUAGCAAUGAACUUUGGAGCCCUGGAAACAAGUAGCCCUAAGUUACAACACUCAAUUUUAAAGGUCCAGCCUCUCUUGGUAUGUCAUGAAGUCUGAUAACCUGUGGAAUCCUGUUGCCUCUUAACAGGAUGCUAAGAGUGGCACAUUCCAGUCAGAGUUGAACAACAGUUUGAACUGCAAAGGUCCACCUGAUUUUUUUCUGCCUCUGCUACCUCUGAAACAGCAAGAUCAGCCCUUGCUCUUCCUUCUGCUCCUACUCAACAUGAAGGCACAAAGACGAAGACUUUAUAAUGAUCCAUUUUUACUUAAUAAGCAGUGAGGCACUGAAGGCAGGCUCCCACUAGUCUUUAAUGGAAAUAUUACAAAGUAGAAGGUA